AUACUUACCUGGCAGGGGAGAUACCGUGAUUAUGAAGAUGGUUUUUCCAGGGUGAGGCUUAUCCAUUGCACUCUAGAGAUGCUGAUCCCUGAAAUUUCCCCAAAUGUGGGAAAUUUGUGGUAGUGGAGGACUGUGUUCAUGCUUUCCCCUG
Small nuclear RNA from Tupaia belangeri (northern tree shrew), 151 nucleotides. Its record names the gene U1. It matches the Rfam family "U1 spliceosomal RNA". Rfam says of the family: U1 is a small nuclear RNA (snRNA) component of the spliceosome (involved in pre-mRNA splicing). Its 5' end forms complementary base pairs with the 5' splice junction, thus defining the 5' donor site of an intron. The record is from Ensembl. NCBI's taxonomy places the organism in Eukaryota, Metazoa, Chordata, Mammalia, Scandentia, Tupaiidae.